Molecule: ribosomal RNA, 484 nt
Filed under: uncultured bacterium
Lineage: Bacteria
Description: bacterial SSU rRNA
Rfam family: Bacterial small subunit ribosomal RNA
Source: RNAcentral
CAGGAUGAACGCUGGCGGCGUGCUUAACACAUGCAAGUCGAACGAAGCAUUCCAACGUCUCGGAGGAAGAAAUGACUGAGUGGCGGACGGGUGAGUAACGCGUGGGUAACCUGCCUUAUACAGGGGGAUAACAGUUAGAAAUGACUGCUAAUACCGCAUAACCCGCUAGUACCGCAUGGUACAGACGGAAAAGAUUUAUCGGUAUAAGAUGGACCCGCGUCUGAUUAGCUAGUUGGUGAGGUAAUGGCUCACCAAGGCGACGAUCAGUAGCCGGCUUGAGAGAGUGAACGGCCACAUUGGGACUGAGACACGGCCCAAACUCCUACGGGAGGCAGCAGUGGGGAAUAUUGCACAAUGGGGGAAACCCUGAUGCAGCAACGCCGCGUGAAGGAAGAAGUAUUUCGGUAUGUAAACUUCUAUCAGCAGGAAAGAAAAUGACGGUACCUGACUAAGAAGCCCCGGCUAACUACGUGCCAGCAGCUGC